Long non-coding RNA from Hemicordylus capensis (graceful crag lizard), 2278 nucleotides. RefSeq lists it as uncharacterized. The transcript is spliced from 3 exons. Lineage: Eukaryota; Metazoa; Chordata; Lepidosauria; Squamata; Cordylidae. The record is from RefSeq and is a predicted model, not a curated record.
UAGAAAACGGAGGCCGUAGGGGGAGAGGAGGGUAAAAGUGGGAGAUCAGCAGCGCCGCUCCUUGCAGAGCCCCGUAUUGCACGGGGAUUCACCACCACCCUGGGAGGGGUCAGGGGAAGGACAAUCAAUCGAGAGAUGCCUCCCAUUUGUCUGGAAUGAGCCCCUAAUCCUCCACCUGCACCUCACCUUCCUCGGUUGAUCCACGCCUGAUUAAAAAGGAGUGGGGUAUAAGAAACCUAUUGCAAAAAGGGGGAAAGGAAGAAGUCGUUUCUGUAGUGUUGACUCGAAGAAUACGAUUAUUCUUGUUGGCUGACGUCCAAACUAAAUUACUCCUGAGUAGUGCUGUUGAAAUUAAGUAGCCCUUUAGAGCCCUAUUGAAUAACUUAGUCUUUAUAUCAGCCAUUUUAUUUUUAUUUAUUUUUUUAACAAGGUUUUCACCACCAGCAGCACAUCGCAUUCUGAUCAUGCAUAUUCUCAGCACAAGGCAUAUUUUGUUCAUGCCUAGGUUUCCCUUUUCAAAUUUGAAAGCGGGAAGGAGGACACUUAGGGAGAUUUGGCUGCUGUUCUAUGCCAAGCAGUCCUGUGGCAGAAAAGUGUGAGCAAUUCAUUGUCAUCUCUGUCUGUGCAGCCAGUCACAGUCACUUAUGGAUUCUUGCGCUUAGCUGUAUCUCAUUCAGAAUCUUCCAGAGUUUUGCCUCAAGUCACUUUUGGCGGGAACCCUGUCUCAGAGGUGUGCCUAGAUAAUUUUGGAGCCUGGGCCUAAAGGCCUUUGGAGCCCGCCCCCCUGCAAAUUAAGGGCACAAACCACACCACUCAGGAGAGACUAAUGAGGAUUGGGGGGGGCCAGGGGGUGUGGAGGCCCUGGACUUUGGCCCCAAAAUCCAGGCAUAAGAUCGCCUCUGCCCUGUCCCCAACAUGAUAUGUGUAUAUAGCCUAGUCUCUCAGCUGCCACAGUAGAUGCCUACUGAAGAACCUUUCUUUGGGGUGUUUUCCUCCGCUUGCCAAGUGAGGUUUUUUGCAUUUUCAGGAUCCAGCUUGCAUAAGGUGAAGAACUGGAAGGAACACUGCAGCCUAUAAUUGCAUUGUUUCCAGCCCUGUCUUUUGGAGCAACAGAGAACAAGUCUGCACCUUCUCCUAUGUCAGUGGUUCCAACCAGCAUUUCCCAGCCAUUGGACACUGGUCGGUGUGCUGUCUGGCUGAAGUGGGAAGUUCCCCCAAUUUUGCAGCUGACUCACCCCACAAUGCAUUGGGAAAGAGGUGCCCCCUUCCAAUCCAAGUGUAAAAAAGGAGCGAGUCACUUACAAAAGCUGAGAAUGUAAACUCCUGGCUUUUGAGCAACUUGCUUCUUCAUGCAUUGAGAAGGAGGUGCCUUUUGGGAUGAAUCAGCUCCAAAUGCAGGGGGUUUAAACUCCUUUUGCAUCUCACUCCUUUACAUCUGGGACUCACUCCUUUGCAUCUGGGAAAGGGGGCACCUCCUUCCCUUUGUAUAAGAGAGAGUCAGCUACAAAACACGCACAUUUGGAGAUUACUCACCCCAUAACUUAAAGGAAAGGAGGCACCUCCAUCCCAGUGCAUAAAGGAGCAAAUCAGCUGCAAAGCUGGGACUGGAGUUGAAACUCUCGGCUUUUGCAGCCAACUUGCCCCAUGAUGAGCCAGGAGGGUGGGCAAGUAAGUAAAAAUUGUGUGGUGGCUUCGCUGCCUAAAAAAAAAAAGGCGGGGGCUGUAGUGAGGCCCAUCUCUCCCCCCCACUCUUUAAUCCAAGUAUGUCCCUGAGUGGGGGUAGAGGGAAGGUUGGGAAACACUAUUCUAUGUGACAGCCUUUUAGAUAUUUGAAGACUGCUCUAAAGCAUUGCUCUUAGCUCUGCAGUAACCUCUUCUGGCCACUAGAGACAUGAGGAGUUAUGUUAAUAGGUCUCUCUUGGUCAGUUGAGAGUCAGUUAGAGUUGUGCAGUUGUUGAAGGCUAGUGCCUGUUUGGAUAUGUUAUUCAAUGUCUCUCUCUUAGUAUGUGAUGCUUUAGUUUCUUAAUAAAUCUUUAUUUGUUUUUGAACUCAACCUAGUGACUCCAGAUAAUAGAAAUGUGCCCGAAGUUGCUUCGGCGCCAGUGGGGGUAGUUCUUUAAGGGCGGGGGAGGGUGCACUCACCCCUCCGGCCACAUUUCCCCCGCCAGUGCUCCAUUAUUUUCAAGCCCCUCAGGGCGGCAGUGUUCCUCCCUGCUGCCCCGUUGUCCUCAUCAGCCAGAAAUGGCUGGAAGUACCGAUUGCAUGUGCGCCCGUCGCG